AGUUCAUAAGUGAAAUCUUUUUCCUGUUUUCAGCUCCAACCAACUUUGUCUCUCUCACUGACUCCCUUCAUUAUCAAAGAAAUACUCUCAUUUAUGGGGCCUAUGCUAGAUGAAAGUCCUAAUACCAAUGUGCCGUGAACCCUUCAUGUGAAGUUUCCAGGGGAGCAGUUCUCUUGACAAACUUGCAUACUGCCUGCAAUAUGGUUCCAAAGUUCACAAUAAGAUCCCAAGUUGCCUGCAUGGGUUGGAGAUAAAAUGAUCAAACCAGCCAUUUCAGCUCAGGCCUGUGGCAUGGCCAUCUUGGCUAGUAGCCGUUGAUAGGCAUGCCCUCCUUUCAUGUGUGUGUCGAUGCCUCUUUUGAAACUUAAGCUAGGGGCCGUCACCACUUCUUGUGAUAGUGACAUUCAUAAAUUAAUUAUCAGUUGUGUGAAGAAGCAUUUUCUUUAGACUGCCCUGAACCUACUGCCAGUCAAUCUUCGUGUCACCCGUUGAAGUUUAGUAUUAUAAGAGAAGGAAGACGGACCAUGUAUAAUUUUAUAGACAUCUCUCAUGUUUCCACUUGCCUCCUAGCUUCUACCAACAAAUAUCUUUGUGAAUCCCACCUGCUCCUUCGGGAAUAAAGUAUAUCCUGAGGCUGCUGCAGCAGAUUUCUCAAUUAUUCUCAGAAGGCAUUUCUCCCUCCACUAAACGCACCAUCGUGAGUCAUUUGUUGCUAAAUCACCCUAUUUUUGUGCUCAAAGUGGCCUAAUCAUUAUGGGAAUAAUGGCAAGGAAAUGAGGUUUGGUUGGGUUGUUGUUGUUUUUUUAGCAAGUGAAAAAUGCAUAUGUGGCUUAAAUUAACAGUAAAUGUACUCUAAUGGGAUUGGCACCCAGAGGCUCUAAUUAAGGGUUAAAAUCAAACAAGACGCACAAUUUUGGGACUUAAUUGCUCCCUGGUUCGUGCGUCAUUGCUUGUGUUUGGAAGGAGAUGGGAGGGGGAAGGGGUAGUGGUGGCGGCCAGGAGGAGGGGGUUCUUUGAAUAAAAAACAUUUAAGUGUGUGCCCCCUCCCCUAAAAAAGGGGGGGGAAAGGUACAGAAUAUAACUUGCAAGCAAGUAGCUCCUGGCAGAGCUGAACCAGAUGGCACUCCUUGCGCACCUCAUGCGCUGCCUGUUUCUGCUGGUGGUGAUCUACUCCUGUCCCGCACCCGCUACACUUCCUGUUCCAGAAGGACUUGCGUGGAAAGACAGCAAGUAUUCACAGGCACAGACAGACAUAAAAAGAAGUGAGCUGCUUGCUUUCCUUUCUGGCCUCGCUGACUGGGUAUCUCGUACGAAUGAGGCACCACUAUCAAGGCAGGAAAAGGCUGGGCUCAGCUCUCGGGAAGACAGAGCCCCUCAUCCUCAGCCCCCAGCCCGGGAAAAGGCACCCUGUAAGAACUUCUUCUGGAAGACUUUCUCUUCCUGCUAACGAAAAUUACUUCUUGGGAUGUUGCCCUAGCACCAGUGGACUCGAGAUGGCUAUGACCGGUGACUUCUCUCCUUGAGCAGCAAGUGCUGCUAUGUAAUAUAAAAUUUCUCCUUUCCCUUUUGUUGAUAUUAGAUGUGUGCAUAGAGAACCAAAUCAGUAUGCUCAUAACUCCCAACUUGUGUGCAGAUGUGUUCGUAGGGCAUUUAACUGAUGUUCCCCAUCUCAUUCAGACUG
This is a long non-coding RNA of Podarcis raffonei (Aeolian wall lizard), 1681 nucleotides long. RefSeq lists it as uncharacterized. Lineage: Eukaryota; Metazoa; Chordata; Lepidosauria; Squamata; Lacertidae. The transcript is spliced from 3 exons. The record is from RefSeq and is a predicted model, not a curated record.